GUGGGGAAUAUUGGACAAUGGGCGCAAGCCUGAUCCAGCAAUGCCGCGUGGGUGAAGAAGGCCUUCGGGUUGUAAAGCCCUUUUGUUGGGAAAGAAAUCCUGUCGGUUAAUACCUGGCGGGGAUGACGGUACCCAAAGAAUAAGCACCGGCUAACUUCGUGCCAGCAGCCGCGGUAAUACGAAGGGUGCAAGCGUUACUCGGAAUUACUGGGCGUAAAGCGUGCGUAGGUGGUGGUUUAAGUCCGUUGUGAAAGUCCUGGGCUCAACCUGGGAAUUGCAGUGGAUACUGGAUCACUAGAGUGUGGUAGAGGGAUGCGGAAUUUCUGGUGUAGCAGUGAAAUGCGUAGAGAUCAGAAGGAACAUCCGUGGCGAAGGCGGCAUCCUGGGCCAACACUGACACUGAGGCACGAAAGCGUGGGGAGCAAACAGGAUUAGAAACCCGUGUAGUCC
RNAcentral lists this ribosomal RNA (450 nucleotides) under uncultured bacterium. RNAcentral describes it as "partial 16S ribosomal RNA". It matches the Rfam family "Bacterial small subunit ribosomal RNA", at positions 354 to 796 of the family's 1533-position model. The record is from RNAcentral.